This 442-nucleotide ribosomal RNA is filed under the name uncultured bacterium. RNAcentral describes it as "partial 16S ribosomal RNA". It matches the Rfam family "Bacterial small subunit ribosomal RNA", at positions 338 to 795 of the family's 1533-position model. The record is from RNAcentral.
CCUACGGGAGGCAGCAGUGGGGAAUAUUGGGCAAUGGGCGAAAGCCUGACCCAGCAACGCCGCGUGAAGGAAGAAGGCUUUCGGGUUGUAAACUUUUUUUGAUAGGGAAGAGCAGAAGACGGUACCUGUCGAAUAAGCUACGGCUAACUACGUGCCAGCAGCCGCGGUAAUACGUAGGUGGCAAGCGUUGUCCGGAUUUACUGGGUGUAAAGGGCGUGUAGCCGGGCUGACAAGUCAGUUGUGAAAUCCGGGGGCUCAACCGCCGAACUGCAUUUGAAACUGGUGGUCUUGAGUAUCGGAGAGGCAGGCGGAAUUCCUGGUGUAGCGGUGAAAUGCGUAGAUAUUAGGAGGAACACCGAUGGCGAAGGCGGCCUACUGAACGGCCACUGACGGUGAGGCGCGAAAGCGUGGGGAGCAAACAGGAUUAGAUACCCGAGUAGUC